Molecule: ribosomal RNA, 254 nt
Filed under: uncultured bacterium
Lineage: Bacteria
Description: partial 16S ribosomal RNA
Rfam family: Bacterial small subunit ribosomal RNA
Source: RNAcentral
UACAGAGGGUGCGAGCGUUGUUCGGAAUUACUGGGCGUAAAGCGCGCGCAGGCGGCUUCCUAAGUCUGUUGGUGAAAGACCGGGGCUCAACCCCGUGUCAGCCAUGGAUACUGGGAGGCUGGAGACAGGUAGAGGCAAGCGGAAUUCCGGGUGUAGCGGUGGAAUGCGUAGAGAUCCGGAAGAACACCGGAGGCGAAGGCGGCUUGCUGGACCUGGUCUGACGCUGAGGCGCGAAAGCGUGGGGAGCGAACAGG